GUUGGGUAGGGGAGCGUUCUGUAAGCCUGUGAAGGUGUGCUGUGAGGCAUGCUGGAGGUAUCAGAAGUGCGAAUGCUGACAUAAGUAACGAUAAAGCGGGUGAAAAGCCCGCUCGCCGGAAGACCAAGGGUUCCUGUCCAACGUUAAUCGGGGCAGGGUGAGUCGACCCCUAAGGCGAGGCCGAAAGGCGUAGUCGAUGGGAAACAGGUUAAUAUUCCUGUACUUGGUGUUACUGCGAAGGGGGGACGGAGAAGGCUAUGUUGGCCGGGCGACGGUUGUCCCGGUUUAAGCGUGUAGGCUGGUUUUCCAGGCAAAUCCGGAAAAUCAAGGCUGAGGCGUGAUGACGAGGCACUACGGUGCUGAAGCAACAAAUGCCCUGCUUCCAGGAAAAGCCUCUAAGCAUCAGGUAACAUCAAAUCGUACCCCAAACCGACACAGGUGGUCAGGUAGAGAAUACCAAGGCGCUUGAGAGAACUCGGGUGAAGGAACUAGGCAAAAUGGUGCCGUAACUUCGGGAGAAGGCAC
Molecule: ribosomal RNA, 525 nt
Filed under: Escherichia coli
Lineage: Bacteria; Pseudomonadati; Pseudomonadota; Gammaproteobacteria; Enterobacterales; Enterobacteriaceae
Description: partial 23S ribosomal RNA
Rfam family: Bacterial large subunit ribosomal RNA
Source: RNAcentral